AACGAGAUAGUUCAAGCGGCUAGAACACUAGAAUCAUAAUCUAUUAGUUAUAGGUUCAAAUCCUAUUCUCGUUAC
This 75-nucleotide transfer RNA is filed under the name Pterosiphonia complanata. RNAcentral's name for it is "tRNA-Met". It matches the Rfam family "tRNA". Rfam says of the family: Transfer RNA (tRNA) molecules are approximately 80 nucleotides in length. The record is from RNAcentral. Lineage: Eukaryota; Rhodophyta; Florideophyceae; Ceramiales; Rhodomelaceae.